RNAcentral lists this ribosomal RNA (382 nucleotides) under uncultured eukaryote. RNAcentral's name for it is "SSU rRNA". It matches the Rfam family "Eukaryotic small subunit ribosomal RNA", at positions 587 to 972 of the family's 1831-position model. The record is from RNAcentral.
AGCUCCAAUAGCGUAUAUUAAAGUUGUUGCAGUUAAAAAGCUCGUAGUUGGAUUUCUGGUGGUAGCGUUGGGCCGGCCCUAAGGGUCUGUGCUCAAAUGUUUACUGCCAUCCUUCAGUGGAUCUUGUCUGGCAUUCAGUUGUCGGGCUUGGAAAGCUGAUCGUUUACUGUGAAAAAAUUAGAGUGUUCAAAGCAGGCUUAUGCCGUUGAAUACAUUAGCAUGGAAUAAUAAGAUAGGACCCUGGUACUAUUUUGUUGGUUUGCGUACCUAGGUAAUGAUUAAUAGGGACAGUUGGGGGUAUUCGUAUUCCGUUGUCAGAGGUGAAAUUCUUGGAUUUACGGAAGACGAACUACUGCGAAAGCAUUUACCAAGGAUGUUUUCA